This is a non-coding RNA of Vicia faba (fava bean), 336 nucleotides long. The record is from the annotation of a GenBank genome assembly. Lineage: Eukaryota; Viridiplantae; Streptophyta; Magnoliopsida; Fabales; Fabaceae.
AUGCUUCAUCCGUCUAAAAUCAAAUCUUUCUCAAACAUCCGGAACUGGGUCCUGGACACUCUCAUCAACUGUCUCAAAACUGCUUCGGAGUUGGAAUCCUUUACAGUUGUUCCUCACUUACGUUACGCCAUGUUCUGUUUACUUGUUUCUAUGUGUUUUGGUGAAAGAGUUAACGAUGAGAAAAUCAGUGAAAUUGAACGUGAAGAAAGGGCGCUUCUCUUGAGUAUAAGCAGAUUCAAUAUAUUGAAUUUCUGGCCUCAAGUUACUAAGAUUUUGCUGUGGAAAGGAGGAAGAUUUGCAGAAACUUCAUUAUCUGAAGUGUGUCAGUGCUAUUGA